GAAAAGGAAAAUUCGGGUUUCAAGGCUCAAAGUUUAAUUUGUCAAUGUGGUACCAGAAAUCUCGACUAAGAAAGGCCAAGACAAAGUCAACGGGAGUUAGCUCGAAAAAUUACGGUUUAGUAAAGAUAGAACGUUGAAUCAGCAUCCCAGUUCGAUCCCGAAUUCAUUAAGGUAAAGUGUGUUAAUUAUUGGUAAUGGCAUGUACCUAGGAUGUUUUAUGAGAGUCAUUUAGGUUGUAGAUGUACUCAUGAAAUGAGUAAAUUAUGAUUGGCAACGGUAUGUAGUAUGAAUUUUGAAAUUUACUAAAAAUUCGUAGUGAUUCUAAA
Gossypium arboreum is the source of this 326-nucleotide long non-coding RNA. RefSeq lists it as uncharacterized. The record is from RefSeq and is a predicted model, not a curated record. Lineage: Eukaryota; Viridiplantae; Streptophyta; Magnoliopsida; Malvales; Malvaceae. The transcript is spliced from 3 exons.